GUGUGGGGAUAUCUGAAUCGAGUAUGUAGCCUAUUUUCUCAUAGUUCAAAACAAUUUUGAGGUUUCAAAGCCAAUCCUUGUAAUUGGUUCCGGUCAGUCGGUUGGUCUCAAGAAUACGGGUCAAAGGAUUUGAAGCUGACAUUGUAUCUGCAGAGAGUAAAGAUUCUAGUUAGACUUUUGUACUUGAUCCUUAAUCUGUUCUAAGAUCUUUUAGAACAAAUGUACCUCCCACUAUUUUCUCGAAUCCCUUACACUCCCCUGGUAAGAAAACGGAAAUCCUACGCGACUAGGAUUUCUAGUAGGUACUGCGGUCU
This 314-nucleotide long non-coding RNA is filed under the name Phoenix dactylifera (date palm). RNAcentral describes it as "long non-coding RNA (PDAC_LNC013162)". Lineage: Eukaryota; Viridiplantae; Streptophyta; Magnoliopsida; Arecales; Arecaceae. The record is from RNAcentral.